GAUGAACGCUGGCGGCGUGCCUAAUACAUGCAAGUCGAGCGAAUGGAUUAAGAGCUUGCUCUUAUGAAGUUAGCGGCGGACGGGUGAGUAACACGUGGGUAACCUGCCCAUAAGACUGGGAUAACUCCGGGAAACCGGGGCUAAUACCGGAUAACAUUUUGAACCGCAUGGUUCGAAAUUGAAGGCGGCUUCGGCUGUCACUUAUGGAUGGUCCUGCGUCGCAUUAGCUAAUUGGUGAGGUAACGGCUCACCAAGGGAACGAUGCGUAGCCGACCUGAGAGGGUGAUCGGCCACACUGGGACUGAGACACGGCCCAGACUCCUACGGGAGGCAGCAGUAGGGAAUCUUCCGCAAUGGACGAAAGUCUGACGGAGCAACGCCGCGUGAGUGAUGAAGGCUUUCGGGUCGUAAAACUCUGUUGUUAGGGAAGAACAAGUGCUAGUUGAAUAAGCUGGCACCUUGACGGUACCUAACCAGAAAGCCACGGCUAACUACGUGCCAGCAGCCGCCGUAA
This 514-nucleotide ribosomal RNA is filed under the name uncultured bacterium. Its description in RNAcentral is "partial 16S ribosomal RNA". It matches the Rfam family "Bacterial small subunit ribosomal RNA", at positions 28 to 523 of the family's 1533-position model. The record is from RNAcentral.